RNAcentral lists this ribosomal RNA (440 nucleotides) under uncultured bacterium. Its description in RNAcentral is "bacterial SSU rRNA". It matches the Rfam family "Bacterial small subunit ribosomal RNA", at positions 338 to 795 of the family's 1533-position model. The record is from RNAcentral.
CCUACGGGUGGCUGCAGUGGGGAAUAUUGCACAAUGGGGGAAACCCUGAUGCAGCAACGCCGCGUGAGCGAAGAAGGCCUUCGGGUCGUAAAGCUCUGUCCUAAGGGAAGAAGCAUGACGGUACCUUAGGAGGAAGCCCCGGCUAACUACGUGCCAGCAGCCGCAGUAAUACGUAGGGGGCGAGCGUUAACCGGAAGCACUGGGCGUAAAGGGUGCGUAGGCGGCCAAUUAAGCCAGAGGUGAAAGGCUACGGCUCAACCGUAGUAAGCCUUUGGAACUGAAUGGCUUGAGUGCAGGAGAUGAGAGUGGAAUUCCUAGUGUAGCGGUGUAAUGCGUAGAUAUUAGGAGGAACACCAGUGGCGAAGGCGAGUCUCUGGACUGUGAGUGACGCUGAGGCACGAAGGCGUGGGGAGCAAACAGGAUUAGAUACCCUAGUAGUC